ACGAAGGGGGCUAGCGUUGCUCGGAAUUACUGGGCGUAAAGGGAGCGUAGGCGGACAUUUAAGUCAGGGGUGAAAUCCCGGGGCUCAACCUCGGAAUUGCCUUUGAUACUGGGUGUCUUGAGUAUGAGAGAGGUGUGUGGAACUCCGAGUGUGCGAGCGAAUUUCGUAGAUCUGCGGAGGAAGACCAGAGGCGAAGGCAACACACUGGCUUAUUUCUUACGGUGAUGCUCGUGUGCGUUUGCAGCACACAG
RNAcentral lists this ribosomal RNA (251 nucleotides) under uncultured prokaryote. Its description in RNAcentral is "partial 16S rRNA". It matches the Rfam family "Bacterial small subunit ribosomal RNA", at positions 525 to 775 of the family's 1533-position model. The record is from RNAcentral.